Dallia pectoralis (Alaska blackfish) is the source of this 73-nucleotide non-coding RNA. The record is from the annotation of a GenBank genome assembly. NCBI's taxonomy places the organism in Eukaryota, Metazoa, Chordata, Actinopteri, Esociformes, Umbridae.
GAGUUGGUAGCUCAGCGGUAGAGUGCAUGCUUUGUAUUUAUGAUGUCCUGGGUUCAACCCCCAGGUUGUCUUA